AUCCAGGCUGAUGAAUGGAUUGAUAAUUUGUUCCUUUCUGUCGUUAAGUAGUAUGUAUUCCACGGCAUGCGUGUACUUCAGUUUGUUUGACUGUUCACCCGUUGAAAGACUUCUGGGUUGAUUCCAGUUUGGGGCUAUUGCAAAUAAUGUUGCUAUGAGCAUUUGUAUACUGGCUUUUUGUGUAAACAUAAGCUUUUUAUUUCUCUGGGAUAAGUGCCUAGGAGGGCUAUUGCUGGGCAGUAUGGUAGUGGAAUCGUUCAUUUUUAAAGAAACUGUUAAACUGUUUUCCCGAUGGCUGUACCAUUUACACUCCCACCAGUAAUAUGCAAGUGACCCACAUUGUCUGCCUCCUCACCAGCUUCUGCCACCACGAUGGGAGAAGGCCAAGCCACACGGAAUGGCCUCAUGUAGGCACUGAGGUCCACAGUCCCAUCUGAGCUCCAGCUGACAGCUAACAUCAUAUGCCAGUCAUGAGCCGUCUUGGAAGUUCAGCCCCAGUCAAGCAUUCAGAUGAUGGCACCCUCAGCUGCCACGUAACCAGAACAAUACAAAAGACCCCAGACUGAAAAGCAAAACAACAACAAGAGCCUGCCGGUUUGCUUCUCUAGCCUAGAAGAUCUCCAAGGAGGCUAAGGCUCAGACAUCCUGACUUUCCGCAGAACCUCCCUGGGGAGAUAGUGCAAAUUCCAAUCCCCAGAGGCUCAGAGCCGAGAAAGCAGAGGAAGUGGUGAAGAUGGAGAUGCCCGGCCUCUCCCUCCACUCCCUUCCCCGCGGUGUUGGAAGGCAGGGUGCCUGCCGGGAAACCAGGCCACAGGGAGCCCAGCGGUGCGGGAGGGCAGCUGAGCCUGCGAUCAACCAGCCGCCAUAAGCGCCCGCCCUCCGAGCGCUGUCCGGCUACCCCCCGGGGCUGCGGGUGCGGCCAGGGCACCCCAGGAGACUGAAUUUCUGUUGCAAUGGGAAACCACCCCCGCCCACACCAGCCAUCUUCUCCAUCUCGCCUGCUCACCCCACUGCUUUUCCAAUGGGAGUCCUGCCCCUGCCUCCUCCCCUAAUCGACCCCUCCUCCCUCCCUAGCGGGGGAUCGAUCCAGUCCUCAGCUGUCUUUCUGGUGCCCCCCCCCCCGCCCCCCUCCCCCGCCAGUGUCUUCGAUUGCCUCCUGAGCCUGCGGCCCAUUCCAUCUUCAGCUGACUUGACUUGUCUUCCUCUGAGAUACAGCCUGGCAGAGCACGGCGCAUGAUUGAUGAGCUAAGAAGCUGUGGCUGGCAGGCAGGUGGGCAGCCAGCCAGAGACACAGCUCUCACAAGAUAGCAGAGCUGUCCAAGGGAGAGCCCACAGCUACGGGAUGCUCCCGGGAGUCCCCUCACUGGCUGGACUGACUCGGCAGCCAGUCUGGGCAAAGCAGAUAACCACAAGGGCCAUGGGUACAGUACCCAGCACACAACAGUCUCUCAGUCAGUGAGAAUGCGCCCUUCUUUCCCCACUCUAAAACAGAGACCCAAGGAGAGGAAGGCAGUGAGCUGCCUUUUUUUUUUUUUUUUUUUUGAGGAAG
Equus caballus (horse) is the source of this 1549-nucleotide non-coding RNA. Lineage: Eukaryota; Metazoa; Chordata; Mammalia; Perissodactyla; Equidae. The record is from RefSeq and is a predicted model, not a curated record.